RNAcentral lists this microRNA precursor (143 nucleotides) under Gossypium hirsutum (cotton). RNAcentral's name for it is "MIR7502 microRNA precursor family". It matches the Rfam family "MIR7502 microRNA precursor family". Lineage: Eukaryota; Viridiplantae; Streptophyta; Magnoliopsida; Malvales; Malvaceae. The record is from Rfam by way of RNAcentral.
UUUUAAAUUUUAUCAAUUUCUACUAUUAAAAAUUGGCGUAGUUGAUAGAUUAACUUGACAAUUACGAGUUGUAUGCCAUGUGUACCUCAUUUUGAUGUAUAUGGACCAAUUUUUAACAGUAUAAAAAGAUAGGACAUUUAACA